This 516-nucleotide ribosomal RNA is filed under the name uncultured bacterium. RNAcentral's name for it is "partial 16S ribosomal RNA". It matches the Rfam family "Bacterial small subunit ribosomal RNA", at positions 28 to 523 of the family's 1533-position model. The record is from RNAcentral.
GACGAACGCUGGCGGCGUGCCUAAUACAUGCAAGUCGAGCGGACGUUUUUGAAGCUUGCUUCAGAAACGUUAGCGGCGGACGGGUGAGUAACACGUGGGCAACCUACCUUAUCGACUGGGAUAACUCCGGGAAACCGGGGCUAAUACCGGAUAAUAUCUAGCACCUCCUGGUGCCGGAUUAAAAGAGGGCUUCUUGCUCUCACGAUGAGAUGGGCCCGCGGCGCAUUAGCUAGUUGGAGAGGUAACGGCUCCCCAAGGCAACGAUGCGUAGCCGACCUGAGAGGGUGAUCGGCCACACUGGGACUGAGACACGGCCCAGACUCCUACGGGAGGCAGCAGUAGGGAAUCUUCCGCAAUGGACGAAAGUCUGACGGAGCAACGCCGCGUGAGUGAUGAAGGGUUUCGGCUCGUAAAGCUCUGUUAUGAGGGAAGAACACGUACCGUUCGAAUAGGGCGGUACCUUAACGGUACCUCAUCAGAAAGCCACGGCUAACUACGUGCCAGCCGCCGCCGUAA